GUUGAAGCAUAAUGAAAAUAGCGACCACGAUUCUUAUUUAUCGCAUUUAAAAAAAAAAAAAAAAAAAGUUACAAAUAAAAAUAGGAAUGUUGUGUUUAUUGAAAGUAAUAGUAUAAUAAAUGAUAAGAACAAAAUAAAUUAUAUAAAUACAAAAUUUUACAACAAUAGCAAUGAGAGUGGUAAUGGGAAUAGUAAUGGCAAUGGGAAUGGUAAUGGCAGUGGCAAUGACAGUAGCAAUAACAGUAGCAAUGACAAUGGCAAAGGAAAUGAUAAUGAAGGUAACAAUGGAAAUUUAAAAGAUAUAAAAUUUUUAACUAAUAUGCAAAAAAAUUUAGUUUAUUUACUCGAGCGUAAUAAUAAUGUUUUAGUACAUGCUAAGACGGCCAGUGGAAAAACAACGAUCAGUUUAUUAUACUUAGUUUUAAAAUUUUAUUAUAAUUGUGAAUUUAUUUUUCAAGAAGAUAUAGAUAGAGAAAAAUAUUUAAAUAACUACAUGUGUUAUAACAAACACAAUAACAUGUUUAAUGAAAAAAACAAAAAAAAUCAAAGCAAAAUGGUAUAUCAAGACAAAAUGGUAUAUCAAAACAAACUUAAGUAUAAACCAUUUAGUGAAAAAUAUGUAGAACUUUAUGAUUUAAAAGAAAAUAAAGAUUUAUUACUUGAAAAAAAGUCAAAAUGUAUAUUAAAAAAAGGAGAAACCAUUUUGAUACUAUGUCCUUCUAAAGAAUUAUGUGUACAAAUAGCUUAUAAUAUUUUACAUUUUAUGAAUAAUACAAAAGAAAACAUAGUUAAGUUAUUUAUUGACAAAGGGGGUGAAACCUCAAAAAAUGAUCGCAAGCGGGUAAACAAUAAUUUGAUAAAACACCAACAAAGAGAUGGUUUAAAUAAAGAAAAUAAAGGGAUUAGACAAGGAAUGAUUAAAAAAUCGGGUGACAUUAUUAUCGAUAAUGGUGUAGCUAGCUGUGUAGCUCGUAACGAUGGUGGACCCAGUUUGAAUUCCCCUAAAAAUACAAAACGAUUUGAAACAAAUACCAUGAACAAAGUAAACAACCAUGAAAAUACCCUUUUUCUUAUAGGCACUCCAAAGUGCUUUAAUAAUUAUAUUUUAAAUUUAAAUAAAAAUAAG
Molecule: long non-coding RNA, 1126 nt
Filed under: Piliocolobus tephrosceles (Ugandan red Colobus)
Lineage: Eukaryota; Metazoa; Chordata; Mammalia; Primates; Cercopithecidae
Description: lncRNA (ENSPTEG00000003802.1)
Source: RNAcentral